AACAUGUAUCUACAUUACCGAAAUAACAAGCAGCCGUUGUAUAAGGCAUACUUAAUGGGACUCCCCCAGUAACCAUUUCGAGAGUAUAAGAAGACCGUGUUUUAACCGAUCGGUACCCAGCAGUUUCUACAAGUUCAACGGAACACUAUUGAAAAAAAGAAAAAAUAAGCAAAAUGUCACGAGUUAUUUUACUGUUAUCAAUAAUUUUAUUCAUUGGCUGCUUCUAUGCUGUUGCAGGACAAUGUGACGGCCAUUGGUGUAGUUGGCUCUCUCAGUGUGGCUGUAGAGGUUACGCUUGUAAGAGCGGUACUUGCGCAAAGGUGCCUCUUCGGGAAUUCGCCGAGAAUCUCUAAAAGUGAAGUUUUACAAAUUUUCUGUCAGGAGUAUACGACAAUUUCAAAAUUGUAGAUUUUUGUUACAAAAAAUGGCACCUUAUGAAUAUUGUAAUAUUGGUCUUAUUCAAUACUA
Long non-coding RNA from Microplitis mediator, 468 nucleotides. RefSeq lists it as uncharacterized. NCBI's taxonomy places the organism in Eukaryota, Metazoa, Arthropoda, Insecta, Hymenoptera, Braconidae. The record is from RefSeq and is a predicted model, not a curated record. The transcript is spliced from 3 exons.